UGCUGAUAAGUGGGGAAACUUUGCUUUUCCCCCAGGAAAACACACUAUCCUGAGGCACAAGUGCUGAUGGAUUACGGCCAGGUCCCGACAGUACACACACCUGUAGCCUCCACUCUGCUCCUACCUGGCACAGCCAGACGUGUCUCCCGCAGUCUCCCGCAGGAUAGCGUCACAUGCAUGCUCAUUCGGCCUCCACAGCUGUUCGCUGUGUGUUGGAGAAAGCCCACAGCUCUGCAUCUUACAGUUCAAGGCUCCGAUCAAACUUCCCAUCUUUAUUCUGAGCAUCAAAGUGAUUACUGGAUCAGCUUCCCUCAACACAAGGUACACGCGGAUACAAAGUGAGCUUAUUGCAAAUGGAACAGCCGAUACUGCAAAGAUGCAACAUGUGCGAGGAGAUAAACAAGGAUGCAGCAGAAACUAGUGGAGUUCUCAAAACAGACAUCCAAGUGUGAACUCCCC
Molecule: long non-coding RNA, 459 nt
Filed under: Chinchilla lanigera (long-tailed chinchilla)
Lineage: Eukaryota; Metazoa; Chordata; Mammalia; Rodentia; Chinchillidae
Description: lncRNA (ENSCLAG00000029055.1)
Source: RNAcentral